GCAUAUGUCAUUGCAAACGUUUUACACAUUUCUGAUGGUUUUCAUACAGCACCGUUUGCGAUUAUGGCAUCGCACACAGUUUCUCGAAGAGUCUCUGAUCGUAAUGUCGCGUUAGCAGCAUCCUGCAGUAGUGCCUGCAUCCAUUUCUUCUUCCGAAGUUUCCUUCAAGAUCCUUGUCACUAACUUCUGAGCUGUGUCUCUGCCUGCCCAUGGCAGUCUCAUCUUCUUCAGCAUUCGCUCUUUGAACUGCUGAAUCAGCCUCUCUUCUCUCGAACAUAUCUUUGCCUCUCUUGACAUUUACAGGAUCUCUGCUACAGCAAUGUCCUUGGUGAUAAACAGAAUUGCUACUAAGUUGUUGCAUAUCCAAGGAUGAAUCCAACUUUAUGUCAAGCCAAUCCCAAUAAGUACUGUGUCCAUCGCCCUCAUCUUCAGAGUCACGGGCUCCACUGUCCCCCAGCGAUUUUGUCCUUGUCUGGGAGCAACCUAAGCCCGUGAUAGUCAGUUGCCUUGGCCCGAGCCUGCCCCUGCUGUCUGCUUCAGCUCUGGAGGGCAGUUGAGUUCCCUGAGCACGCAUGCCCACCUAUGCCGCUGCACUGGAUCCGUCGAUUUGGCCUCCAGGACAGCCCAUUGGAAUACCUGCGCCGGUUUCUGACGCCAUGGCGAUGGGAUUCACCUCUGUUCCUCUUCUGAGCUCUCUGAGACGAUGAUUUCCGCCAACAACUAUGUUUCGAAAUCGAUCCUCUUCUGGCAGAUCUUGAUGUCUCGGAUCAUCUCCCCCCGGAUUGCUUCGUGGAUCCGAGCCUUCUCCUUUGCCAUCUUCAACUCCCUGAGGCAGUCGUGCACUUGCGCCGCUGCAUCCUGAAUCCUGUUCGUACGCGCCGACCACCAACGCUAGCGCAGUCCCUCCAAAUCCUCCGGGGGAUCACUCUGGUGUGGUCGAAGGUUGGAUCCCCCCGAUACGCAGGUUACAGGACCGCUAAUCUGCGCUGGGAUCCCACGCUCGCUGACUUGCCUUUGGGCGGAUCCAUGGCGGAUCUGAGAUGCAGCACCGGGGAAGACUCGACCAAGGAUGGUGGGAGAGGUGGGACUACGCAGCAGCGGGAGGGUGGGGAGCAUCUGUGGGGAGCGCUGAGUGGAGUGGCGGAGCGGGAGCGGCGGCCGGCCGGAGCGGCGCGCGGCGGGGCGAGCGAGGGUCGCCUAUCGCCUCACCACCUCUAGAUAGAUCACUAUCGCUUGAUCGAUCUACGAUUUAUUGACAACCCAGAUCCCUCGGUGUCCAUCCAAAUAAAUCGUCAAUAGAAGGUUCUCAGUCUCCAUAUCAAGAUCCUUUUCUGUUUUGUAAAUCAAGGGUGGUCCUAUAUUAGAGAUACCAUGAGUAAAAAAUGAUAAGGGCGUGACUGAAAAUCUGCUGUUCUGAAAAAAUUGGACGGGAAAUAUAUACGUACAUGGGGUUGAUAAAAAGAAAGAAUGCUCAAGUGCCAUGCUCUUUUAACGUAGAACUAGAAAGGGGAAGGCAGCAAAGCCGGAGACUAAAGAUCCCAACUUUUCUCAUAGCAGGGGCACGGGGGGAUCGGAGCAGUGCAGAGCCUGGGCUUGAUCUCUCCGCUGGGAUCUCUGUUCGACGUGAAGGGUUCUGCUGCAGCCGCCCGUUGAUGAUGUCCGUUCUACUACUACAUUUUGUAAGCACACCAUUGGUUCAGUAUGGAAACCCGUAGUUGUGGUGCCUUCCUGAUCUACCUACUAGUUUACAGGUGCCAAUUUCUGUUCUUGGUUACGGAAGAUUUGGCCGGACAUAGCUACAUUACGGAAGAUUUAGUUCUAUCUGUAUCAACGCAAAGACGAGCCGCAGUCACUCAGUGUUGUACCGAAUUGGUUAUUAAGAUAUUAAGUUGCGACUUGGAUUAUUACCGCUUGGUGCUAGGAAGGAUCUGUUGUGAUGGAAGCGGUGGCAUGAGUGACCCAAUGCUCAGGUUAUCUUCAGUUAGCACAUUGUAUGAGCUGUGGACAUUUUGAUGCCUAGUGGAAGUUCUCUCCAUGCCGAUUUUACAUCUGAUUCGUGGAC
Aegilops tauschii subsp. strangulata is the source of this 2062-nucleotide non-coding RNA. Lineage: Eukaryota; Viridiplantae; Streptophyta; Magnoliopsida; Poales; Poaceae. The record is from RefSeq and is a predicted model, not a curated record.